GGGGGGGGGGGGGGGGGGGGGGGGGGGGGGGGGGGGGGGGGGGGGGGGGGGGGGCGGGGGGCGCUGACGUUGGCGGCGGACGGGGGAGGAACGCGGGGAGAACCUACCUAUAAGACUGGGAUAACUUCGGGAAACCGGAGCUAAUACCGGAUAAUAUAUUGAACCGCAUGGUUCAAUAGUGAAAGACGGUUUUGCUGUCACUUAUAGAUGGAUCCGCGCCCCAUUAGCUAGUUGGUAAGGUAACGGCUUACCAAGGCAACGAUGCGUAGCCGACCUGAGAGGGUGAUCGGCCACACUGGAACUGAGACACGGUCCAGACUCCUACGGGAGGCAGCAGUAGGGAAUCUUCCGCAAUGGGCGAAAGCCUGACGGAGCAACGCCGCGUGAGUGAUGAAGGUCUUCGGAUCGUAAAACUCUGUUAUUAGGGAAGAACAAAUGUGUAAGUAACUAUGCCCGUCUUGACGGUACCUAAUCAGAAAGCCACGGCUAACUACGUG
RNAcentral lists this ribosomal RNA (497 nucleotides) under uncultured bacterium. RNAcentral describes it as "partial 16S ribosomal RNA". It matches the Rfam family "Bacterial small subunit ribosomal RNA", at positions 27 to 507 of the family's 1533-position model. The record is from RNAcentral.